This 495-nucleotide ribosomal RNA is filed under the name uncultured bacterium. RNAcentral describes it as "bacterial SSU rRNA". It matches the Rfam family "Bacterial small subunit ribosomal RNA", at positions 21 to 507 of the family's 1533-position model. The record is from RNAcentral.
GGCUCAGAUUGAACGCUGGCGGCAGGCCUAACACAUGCAAGUCGAGCGGAUGAAAGGGGCUUGCUCCUGGAUUCAGCGGCGGACGGGUGAGUAAUACGCAGGAAUCUACCUAGUAGUGGGGGAUAACGUUUCGAAAGGGACGCUAAUACCGCAUACGUUCUGAGGAAGAAAGCAGGGGAUCGUAAGACCUUGCGCUAUUAGAUGAGCUUGCGUCCGAUUAGCUAGUUGGUGGGGUAAAGGCCUACCAAGGCGACGAUCGGUAACUGGUCCUGAGAGGAUGGAUCAGGUCACACUGGAACUGAGACACGGUCCAGACUCCUACGGGGAGGCAGCAGUGGGGAAUAUUGGACAAUGGGGGCAACCCUGAUCCAGCCAUGCCGCGUGUGUGAAGAAGGCCUUCGGGUUGUAAAGCACUUUAAGCGGGGAGGAAGGCCUGAUGGAUAAUACCCAUUGGGAUUGACGUUACCCGCAGAAUAAGCACCGGCAAACUCCGUG